Molecule: long non-coding RNA, 1933 nt
Organism: Herpailurus yagouaroundi (jaguarundi)
Lineage: Eukaryota; Metazoa; Chordata; Mammalia; Carnivora; Felidae
Exons: 3
Source: RefSeq, a predicted model, not a curated record
CGUAUGAUCAAGCAACUUUCUGUGCAAAUCUUAUGGAAUGUGGCAUUCCAGACUUUAAAGGGAAGGCGAGAUCACCAUGGCAACGGCACAUGGGGGCUGGAGAUGGGAAUCCCCUUGGGAGCUCAAAGGCCAACCGAAUUUUAAGCGUCUGCAACUUAAAAAGAAAAGGAAAACUCUGUUAACUCUGUCAACGAUGUCUAUAGAAAUGGGAUAUGGUUAGAGGUCUCUUCAGAAAGAUCCGAAUUAACCCAGCUCAGGCCUGGACGGUAUGACCUGCAAAGGACAGUUGGUUUUAUUUUUUAAAGAAGGGCAGGUCCUGUUUUGUUUUUUGUUUUUUGUUUUUUUUUGUUUUUUUUUUGUUUUUUUGUUUCUGUUGAAGAGGGAGAUGUUGUCACUGCUAACAUCCGGGAAGGAGCAAAAUUUGGGAAAGAGGCCAGGGACCGGCCAACAAGUGUCGUCGGCUGGGGGCCGCCCCGCCUGUGGGCUCCUGACCACCCAGGCUCAGUCUCUCCCUGCUGGGAAACACGGCACAGCUGAAGGCUGCCUGCGGGCCCCGGGCAGCCUGGCCCAGCACGCGGCUCCGGCUCGGAGACAGGCAGAGCCUGUCAAAUACAGCCCGCGGCCAGCGUGACUCGUGGAAGUGUCUUACGACGCAGCCUUCCUCCCUUUCCUGGGAACCGUAGUCUCUCCUUCUGGGGAACUCAUCCUCCCCUACAUGAACCAGUGGUGCAGAGGGGCCUUGGGUCGUGGGGGCGGACAUAGCCCCCAGCAGAGCCGGGCUGAAUGUAUCUAUGCAGGUGGUGCUGGUCUACUGGGAGGUGCAGGCACAGGACUCAGCCUCAAGUCAAAAACUGUGACCAUUGCACCAAGGCUGCCAAGAGGGGGACCAAUUAGUACAAAGUAAAUAUUUCUCAAGUGGGAAAGUGAAUGGAGGCCACCAGAGCCCCCCUCCGAAGGCAGAAAGCACAAGGUUUCAUGCACCCCCUGGGCCAGCGGCAACCAGAGAUGAAAGAGACAAGAGAGUGUCCCACAGCCUUCUGGGCCAGUGCCCACUCGGCAAUUAGACCUCAACAUUUAUUUAUGGAGCUAGCAUUGCACACAACGCUCCCAUUUCCGCCUGCAGAUAAAGAGCAGAGAUAAUGAGCUGGGCAUGGGCGUGGAAGCUUCAGGAACUCUGUGCAGGGACCGCCCCGCAGCAGCAGGCUUCCGGAGCGCCUGGUUCUGAAUGAGAGUCAAAAAGUUCCGCUCACCCCCCUACUCCCCUGACCCCCUUCUCACCACUGGCCCUUCCUCCCAUGCAUCUUCCCAGGGGAUAUUUAUAGGGUUUCCACCAUUUCUGGGAGGCAAUUUGAAAGGAAAAAUAAGGCAGAAGUGAUGCACUUUCCUACUCCGAGCUUGGGGAUGCUGUCGCUGGCCCUCACUGUCCCACGUCCUCUGCCCCCCAGCCUGACACAUUCUGUCACCAAAUACUUGCCUGGACUUGGCAGUCUCAGAGAUCAUUAAUAAUGAAGACCGAGAAGCCACCUCCCCAGCUGUGCUGGUGAUCUUUCCAGCAGAUCUGUGCUCCCACAGGAGUGUUCUUGGGCCUUCCGGGUGUAGACCUGCAUGGAACAGACAGGCUCACGUCUGGGGGCAACCGGGAGUCUGAAAAUUUAUAGCGGCUUGCUCUCACAAAAUUUCCUCACCUGUCUUUGGACCCGCUGUUAUUAGCAUUAGGGUAAAAAUAAUAAAAAAGAGCUCAUACCUUAGAAACCAGCGGGGUGGUAGCUGAUGAAACCCGUCACUGUAAACUUGGAGUAUUUUCGAGCUAACCGGAGAGAGAGAAUGGCCUCUUUCUCCCCCUCAGGUAGAACCACUGCUUCUUCAAACGUGAAAUUGAAAGGCCAGAGAGAGAAAUAGGUUACCUAGUACAUUUUGAGAUGUAAAGUUAACU